This 520-nucleotide unclassified non-coding RNA is filed under the name uncultured Glomus. RNAcentral's name for it is "SSU rRNA". It matches the Rfam family "Eukaryotic small subunit ribosomal RNA", at positions 569 to 1087 of the family's 1831-position model. Lineage: Eukaryota; Fungi; Glomeromycota; Glomeromycetes; Glomerales; Glomeraceae. The record is from RNAcentral.
AGCAGCCGCGGUAAUUCCAGCUCCAAUAGCGUAUAUUAAAGUUGUUGCAGUUAAAAAGCUCGUAGUUGAAUUUCGGGAUCAAUAUGUUGGUCGUGCCUCGGUACGUACUAGCUUAUUGGUUUCUCCUUUCUGAAGAACCAUGAUGUCAUUUAUUUGGUGUCGUGGGGAAUCAGGACUGUUACUUUGAAAAAUUAGAGUGUUUAAAGCAGGCUCACGCUUGAAUACAUUAGCAUGGAAUAAUGAAAUAGGACGUUUGAUUCUAUUUUGUUGGUUUCUAGGAUCGACGUAAUGAUUAAUAGGGAUAGUUGGGGGCAUUAGUAUUCAAUUGUCAGAGGUGAAAUUCUUGGAUUUAUUGAAGACUAACUACUGCGAAAGCAUUUGCCAAGGAUGUUUUCAUUAAUCAAGAACGAAAGUUAGGGGAUCGAAGACGAUCAGAUACCGUCGUAGUCUUAACCAUAAACCUAUGCCGACUAGGGAUCGGGAUGGAUUGUUUAAUUUUUAAUGUACUCUAUUCGGCUCC